This is a long non-coding RNA of Mytilus trossulus (common blue mussel), 364 nucleotides long. RefSeq lists it as uncharacterized. The transcript is spliced from 3 exons. NCBI's taxonomy places the organism in Eukaryota, Metazoa, Mollusca, Bivalvia, Mytilida, Mytilidae. The record is from RefSeq and is a predicted model, not a curated record.
UAGAUGAUUGCAAAAAUAAAACAACAUGUGACGUCCAUGGGAAGUACGGUUAUUACUAUACGGGGAUGAAGGGAUAUUAUUAUGCAGUUGAAUACUGUGACUGUAAUCCUGGAUAUUGGAACAUAUGUUGUAGUCAAGAAGUCAACGCAUGUACUAGUUUCCCCUGCAUGCAUGGUGGUACCUGCAUGCCUAAUCAACAUGGAUAUGCAUGUUCCUGCACGUCUAAAUCAACGGGAAUAAAAUGUGAAAAUUUAAUCAACGCAUGUGAUAGUUAUCCAUGUCAACGUGCAUCAUGUACUCAACUUCAAAAUGACUACAUGUGUAAUUGCCUUCCUGGAACCUCUGGAAAGAAUUGUGAAAAUGG